This 76-nucleotide transfer RNA is filed under the name Pyrinomonadaceae bacterium. Its description in RNAcentral is "tRNA-Asn". It matches the Rfam family "tRNA". From Rfam's summary of the family: Transfer RNA (tRNA) molecules are approximately 80 nucleotides in length. Their secondary structure includes four short double-helical elements and three loops (D, anti-codon, and T loops). The record is from RNAcentral. Lineage: Bacteria; Pseudomonadati; Acidobacteriota; Blastocatellia; Blastocatellales; Pyrinomonadaceae.
UGUGGCGUAGCUUAAUCGGUAGAGCGCCUGAUUGUUAAUCAGGUCUAUCUCGGUUCGAGUCCGAGCGCCACAGCCA